Molecule: long non-coding RNA, 329 nt
Organism: Sapajus apella (tufted capuchin)
Lineage: Eukaryota; Metazoa; Chordata; Mammalia; Primates; Cebidae
Exons: 3
Source: RefSeq, a predicted model, not a curated record
GCAUGUGCCACCACACCCGUCUAAUUUUGUACUUUUGUAGCAGGAGCGGCCGCUGGAAACGGAUCUCGAACACUGAAUAAAGGAGGGAGGAGAUUAUUCGGCGGGGAGACCAAGCAGUAAUUUGUCGAAAACCCAGCUCCUCUAGCAAAGGAAGGUUCUACCUUUAUAUAGGCUUAUACUUGAGAUGUUACACGUGGAAGAAUCUUAGGUUCAUAGUUUUAGGACUCACAUGUGAAAAGGGUUUGGUUUACAGUUUCAGGAAUCACAUAUGAAAGGGUUCCAGGUUACAGUUUUAGGACUAACAUGUGAAAAGGACUCUCUUUACAAUG